CCUACGGGAGGCAGCAGUGAGGAAUAUUGGUCAAUGGACGAGAGUCUGAACCAGCCAAGUAGCGUGAAGGAUGACUGCCCUCUGGGUUGUAAACUUCUUUUAUAAAGGAAUAAAACGAGGCACGUGUGCCUUUUUGCAUGUACUUUAUGAAUAAGGCUCGGCUAACUCCGUGUGAGCAGCCGCUGUAAUACGGAGGAUCCGAGCGUUAUCCGGAUUUAUUGGGUUUAAAGGGAGCGUAGAUGGGUUGUUAAGACAGUUGUGAAAGUUUGCGGCUAAACCGUAAAAUUACAAUUGAUACUGGCAGGCUUGAGUACAGUUGAGGUAGGCGGAAUUCGUGGUGUAGCAGUGAAAUGCUUAGAUAUCACGAAGAACCCCGAUUGCGAAGGCAGCUUACUAAGAUGUGACUGACAUUGAUGCUCGAAAGUGUAGGUAUCAAACGGGAUUAGAUACCCGGGUAGUC
Molecule: ribosomal RNA, 460 nt
Filed under: uncultured bacterium
Lineage: Bacteria
Description: partial 16S ribosomal RNA
Rfam family: Bacterial small subunit ribosomal RNA
Source: RNAcentral